Non-coding RNA from Triticum aestivum (bread wheat), 98 nucleotides. Lineage: Eukaryota; Viridiplantae; Streptophyta; Magnoliopsida; Poales; Poaceae. The record is from Rfam.
UUUAUACUCCCUCCGUCCCAAAAUUCUUGUUUUAGUAUUAGAUACAUCCGUAUCUAGACGAAUCUAAGACAAGAAUUUUGAGACGGAGGGAGUAUAUA